CAUGAAAGCAGAGACCACCGUCUGCGGAGGCAUGAUUAUUCUAUUGUUCCUUUUAACGAGUAAUCGUUUUACUCGAGUCCUCUUACUAAACCCAACCUCGUUAAGACGUCCGCCACUUCAACUUCUAUCUACAAGUGGCAAAAACUGAAGCUGACCUUCUUCAUGGAGAAACAUGCCGGAAAUGGCAUCCGCACGUGUGAAUAAUUAUACUCAGUGUCCAGGUAGUUUUUUCGAUCAUCCGAUAGAAGUCGUUUCUGUUUUUCAGAGUUCGUUCACGCCUCCAGAAUGUAAAAAUAUCCAAGGAAGUACCAUUAGGAAGCAAUGAAAUUCAGAGCUUCUGUGGUUAUUCCUUUUUCUGAUUGUUUCUUUUCUUUGCCCAAAAUGGAUGAUUUCUAUAUCAAAUUGUUUAUUCGUAUUUUUUUUUUAAUAUUCCUUGAGAUUUUCAAUCAACUCGAUUUCGAAUUUUUUACCAUCCGAUCUUCUGGUUGACGUCGUUAAGAAAGAGGAACGAGUGCACAGGAAGCAUGGUCGGCGUGAGCAUGAUUAGAUCCGGUCUGCCCGAUGACCUUGCCAGUGAUAAUAGCGGUUCGUUAAGGUGGUUGCAGUCUUGGUUUGCUUCUGUUUCGAUUUCCAGCGAACUCGUCAGCCGGCAUGGCUUCCGAGAUGCUCCCCCUGAAACAAGUCGAAAAGAAAUAAUUAAUGGACUCUCUGUUCGAUUGUACGUGGAUGACAAGCUGACCGUAAAAAGAAAUAUACAAAUACGAUUAGAAAAUAUAA
Bombus huntii is the source of this 777-nucleotide long non-coding RNA. RefSeq lists it as uncharacterized. The record is from RefSeq and is a predicted model, not a curated record. NCBI's taxonomy places the organism in Eukaryota, Metazoa, Arthropoda, Insecta, Hymenoptera, Apidae. The transcript has 2 exons.